AUUGAACGCUGGCGGCAGGCCUAACACAUGCCAGUCGAGCGGAUGAAGGGAGCUUGCUCCUGGAUUCAGCGGCGGACGGGUGAGUAAUGCCUAGGAAUCUGCCUGGUAGUGGGGGAUAACGUCCGGAAACGGGCGCUAAUACCGCAUACGUCCUGAGGGAGAAAGUGGGGGAUCUUCGGACCUCACGCUAUCUGAUGAGCCUAGGUCGGAUUAGCUAGUUGGUGGGGUAAAGGCCUACCAAGGCGACGAUCCGUAACUGGUCUGAGAGGAUGAUCAGUCACACUGGAACUGAGACACGGUCCAGACUCCUACGGGAGGCAGCAGUGGGGAAUAUUGGACAAUGGGCGAAAGCCUGAUCCAGCCAUGCCGCGUGUGUGAAGAAGGUCUUCGGAUUGUAAAGCACUUUAAGUUGGGAGGAAGGGCAGUAAGUUAAUACCUUGCUGUUUUGACGUUACCAACAGAAUAAGCACCGGCUAACUUCGUG
Molecule: ribosomal RNA, 484 nt
Filed under: uncultured bacterium
Lineage: Bacteria
Description: partial 16S ribosomal RNA
Rfam family: Bacterial small subunit ribosomal RNA
Source: RNAcentral